AGAGCGAACGCUGGCGGCAGGCCUAACACAUGCAAGUCGAGCGCCCCGCAAGGGGAGCGGCAGACGGGAGAGUAACACGUGGGAACGUACCCUUUGGUUCGGAACAACACAGGGAAACUUGUGCUAAUACCGGAUAAGCCCUUACGGGGAAAGAUUUAUUGCCAAAGGAUCGGCCCGCGUCUGAUUAGCUUGUUGGUGAGGUAACGGCUCACCAAGGCGACGACGGGUAGCC
RNAcentral lists this ribosomal RNA (232 nucleotides) under uncultured bacterium. RNAcentral describes it as "partial small subunit ribosomal RNA". It matches the Rfam family "Bacterial small subunit ribosomal RNA", at positions 26 to 288 of the family's 1533-position model. The record is from RNAcentral.